CGGGGCGUAGCGCAGUUUGGUAGCGCGCUUCCUUGGGGUGGAAGAGGUCGUGAGUUCGAAUCUCGCCGCUCCGA
This 74-nucleotide transfer RNA is filed under the name Acidaminococcus fermentans. Its description in RNAcentral is "tRNA_Pro_GGG". It matches the Rfam family "tRNA". Rfam says of the family: Transfer RNA (tRNA) molecules are approximately 80 nucleotides in length. Their secondary structure includes four short double-helical elements and three loops (D, anti-codon, and T loops). RNAcentral also lists the same sequence under 1 other name. Lineage: Bacteria; Bacillati; Bacillota; Negativicutes; Acidaminococcales; Acidaminococcaceae. The record is from RNAcentral.